Molecule: ribosomal RNA, 406 nt
Filed under: uncultured bacterium
Lineage: Bacteria
Description: partial 16S ribosomal RNA
Rfam family: Bacterial small subunit ribosomal RNA
Source: RNAcentral
ACGAACGCUGGCGGCUGCUUAACACAUGCAAGUCGCACGGAGUGGCGAACGGGUGAGUAACGCGUGAGCAACCUGCCUAUGACAGUGGGAUAGCCUCGGGAAACCGGGAUUAAUACCGCAUAGUCAUAGUUGGGCUCGCGUCUGAUUAGCUAGUUGGAGAGAUAACAGCCAACCAAGGCGACGAUCAGUAGCCGGUAUGAGAGGAAGGACGGCCACGUUGGAACUGAGAAACAGGCCAAACUCCUACGGGAGGUAGCAGUGGUGAAUAUAGCAAAAUGGGGGAAACCCUGAUGCAUCGACGCCGCGUGAACGAAGAAAGUAUUCGUAUCGUAAAGUUCUUUCCUAUGGGAAUCAGUACCAUAGAAGAAAGCUCCGGCUAAAUACGUGCCAGCAGCCGCGGUAAUAC